GACGAACGCUGGCGGCGUGCUUAACACAUGCAAGUCGAACGGAAAGGCCCUGCUUUUGUGGGGUGCCCGAGUGGCGAACGGGUGAGGAACACGUGAGUAACCUGCCCUUGACUUUGGGAUAACUUCAGGAAACUGGGGCUAAUACCGGAUAGGAGCUGCUGCUGCAUGGUGGGGGGUGGAAAGUUUCGGCGGGUGGGGAUGGACUCGCGGCUUAUCAGCUUGUUGGUGGGGUAGUGGCUUACCAAGGCUUUGACUGGUAGCCGGCCUGAGAGGGUGACCGGCCACAUUGGGACUGAGAUACGCCCCAGACUGCUACGGGAGACAGCAGUGGGGAAUAUUGCACAAUGGGCGGAAGCCUGAUGCAGCAACGCCGCGUGCGUGAUGACGGCCUUCGGGUUGUAAACCGCUUUCGCCUGUGACGAAGCGUUAGUGACGGUAAUGGGUAAAGAAGCACCGGCUAACUACGUG
This 468-nucleotide ribosomal RNA is filed under the name uncultured bacterium. Its description in RNAcentral is "partial 16S ribosomal RNA". It matches the Rfam family "Bacterial small subunit ribosomal RNA", at positions 28 to 507 of the family's 1533-position model. The record is from RNAcentral.